Meriones unguiculatus (Mongolian gerbil) is the source of this 104-nucleotide small nuclear RNA. The record is from Ensembl. Lineage: Eukaryota; Metazoa; Chordata; Mammalia; Rodentia; Muridae.
UCACUUAGGCAGCAAGUAUACCAACACUGGAACAAUACAGACAAGAUUUAGCAUGGUCCUUGUGCGAAGAUGACCUACAAAUUUGUGAAGUGUUCCUUUAUUUU